Non-coding RNA from Oryctolagus cuniculus (rabbit), 3032 nucleotides. Lineage: Eukaryota; Metazoa; Chordata; Mammalia; Lagomorpha; Leporidae. The record is from RefSeq and is a predicted model, not a curated record.
GAAAGCAUAGCAGUAGUGGUGGUGGUAACUGAGCCACCAAGAGCCCAACCAGGUGUCAACAGAUGAUGGGGCUAGGUGAAAGAAAAGGGGCGGGGCAUCGAGAUGAGCACCGAGUCCUGGGGCGGGUCUCCUUGGUCCCGCCCUCUGUGAUGUCAGGACGUGUCUGUGUGCGUGCGUGGGCAGAAGGCGGGGGCGUGAUCCAGUGGAGGCGGCCAGUUCUGCGGGUCCAGGAGCAGCUAGGGAAGGCGAGUCGGAGCACCGGGCUGAGUGACCUCUGGAGGAAUCUCCUCAGCCCGUUGUGCCCCCGCCUGUCCCCGUCGUGGGACCACCUUCCUCUCGACCCAGUGAAAUGAAGUAAUCAAAACCAUCCGUGUUUAAUGCUGAUUUCAGAAAUACCUGAGUCUAUAUUCAUGAGACACUGAAAUGAUAAAGGCAAUCUUCACACAGCGCCGGAGGAGGAUCCAUACUGAGAAUCAAACAUCAUCAGUAAUCAUCACGGGCAUGUUCAAUGUUCAGCUUGACUGCGUGAUCUCCCGGGAUAAACAGCAGCAGCAGAAGCUUGUUCCAGCUCCCUCUUAAAGCCCCAGGAACAAAGGUGGCUCAUUGCUGAGAUUCAUGGCAAUCAGUGCGUCCCUUCCUGGACCCUGGCCAGAGGGCCGAGAUGGCAGGCACGUUUCAAGAUGUUCCUCAGACUUCUGCCCAAGGACAUGGUAUGCUCUGCCUUGUUCUCCUCCCAGGAACUGGCCAGGUUCCAGGGAACAGAAGAAGGUCACUCAGUGACAAGUUGCUUACUAGAGCCAAGCCUGAACACAAGCCUCCCCAUCCUAAAGAUCUAUCCUUAUACCUUUUCAGUUUAUUUUUUAAGAUUUAUUUAUUUAUUUGAAAGAGCUAUGCAGAGACGGGGAGAGAGAGAGAGGUUUUUGAUCCACUGGUUCACUCCCCAGUUAGCCACAAUGGGCAGAGCUACUCCAAUCUGAAGCUAGGAGCUAGGAGCUUCUUCCGGGCCUCCCACGCGGGUGCAGGGCCCCAAAGCCUUGGGCCAUCUUCUACUGCUUUCCCAGGCCAUAGCAGAGAGCUGGAUAAGAAUUGGAGCAGCAGGAAGUCGAACUAGCGCCUAUAUGGGAUGCCAGCACUGCAGGAGGGAGCCUUAUCCGCUACACCACAGCGCUGGCCCCAACGUUUCAGUUUUUGAAUCACCAAUGUAUAUAAAGCUCUUAAGUAUGCCUAGGUAUUCUACAAAGCACCCAGCUUGCAUAAAACCGUUGAAAGCAUUCUCUUUAAACUUGCAAAUGGUACAAAUUAUAAAAACUGGUUGAUAAAUUAUUUCAAUGUUUAAUACAAAAAUGGCAUGAUAAGCUCCUUUCAUUAAAACCAUUAUUUUUGCCCUAAUUAAAAACUCUUUUUUAGGGUAAGCAAUACAUACACAUGGGUAUUUAAAUAUAAAAGAUAUACAAGGGUGUGCCAAUGGCAGCAAGUCAUUUUCACACACUAUCUCUCAACCCACCAUUGUCCCUCUUCAGAGAAACAGUUAUCAGUUUUGGAAAUACAGCAUUAUUUAAUCAACUCAAGAUUAUGCCAGGCUUUCUUGAACCUUUGUUAGAGGCCAGGCUUAUUUAAGCACUGGGGACACAGUAAAGAAAUGAAUAUGCAAAAGUAUGUCUUCUGGGGCCAGCACUGUCGUGUAAUAACAGGUUAAAUCCUUGGCCUGCAGUGCUGGCAUCCCGUAUAGGUGUGGUUUUGAGUCCAGGCUGCUCCACUUCCAAUCCAGCGCCCUGCUGAUGUGCCUGGGAAAGCAGUGAAGGAUGGCCCACUGCACCCAUGUGGGAGACCUGGAAGAACCUCCUGGCUUUGGGUCAGCUCAACUCUGGCCAUUGUGGCCAUUUUUUGAGUGAACUGGCAGAUGGAAGACCUCUAUCUCUGUCUCUACCUCUUUCUGUAACGCUAACUUUCAAAUAAAUGAAAUAAAUCUUUAAAAAUUCUGUCUUUCAUAAAGUAGUUUUGUUUGCUUGUUUUUGGUUGAGGGAGGAGAAAAGAAACACAGAGAACAGAACAUAUUUGUGAAGGGAUGAUAAAUACCAUGAGGAAAGUGACUACAGAUUAGUGGAAAUGUGAGGGGUUGUCAAAGAAGAACUUUUUGGUAAGAUGACAUUAAAUCAGAGACUUGCAGGAAGUGACAGAACAAGUCACACAAAUGCUUUAGAGAAGAUCAUUUUUGGGCAGAGGAAGGAGCCUGUGCAAAAGCCUUGGUUGUGAGUGUGUUCAUUUUGGAAGCAGCAGGAAGGACAGUGAAGGGAAGUGUACAAGGGGAGAUUAGCAGAUGAGAAAAGAGAGAAGAGUAAUGGGUAGAUUAGAUUUAAUAGGGCCUUAUAACAGCUUUGGAUAGUGGUUUGAGUGUAGUGGGAGCCACUGUGUUUGAGAUAGGCUUAGUGGAGGAGCAGGAGUGUGUUUAGUGUUAAGUUGUAUAAGGUUUUUAAUUUUUUUUUAUUUGACAGACAAAGUUAGACAGAGACAGAGAGAGAGAGAGAGAGAGAGAGAGAGAGAAAGGUCUUCUUUUUUCCGUUGGUUCACCCCCCAAGUGGCCGCUAUGGCUGGUGCUGAGCUGAUCCGAAGCCAGGAGCCAGGUGCUUCCUCCUGGUCUCCCAUGCAGGUGCAGGGGCCCAAGGGCUUGUACCAUCCUCCACUGCCUUCCCGAGUUUUUGCUAAUAACAAUAGGUAGAAUUAAAAUGGAGAGAAUGAUCCAACAUGGGAAGUAGGCCACAUAGCAGACUCAUAGAAUGGCAAAUGCCCUAAACAGCAAUCUGGCCUCAGAAUCAGCUGUUAAGGCAUUUGGAUCUGGCUAAAAAGCCCAUGAGAGCAUUUCAGGCAUGGAAAGCCAAGACACUGUGGCAAAAAAAAGGACCUAAGUGAAAGAUCUCUGUGAGUGAGAUCCCAGUAAAAAGAAGGGGAGAUUAAAGAAGGAGGUACUUUUCUCUGAAAGGAGGAGAGAAUUUCCACUUUGCUUUUGGCUCUGUCUAAAUACUGACGGAAUCUGU